UACGGAGGGUGCAAGCGUUAUCCGGAUUUACUGGGUUUAAAGGGUGCGUAGGUGGGCAGGUAAGUCAGUGGUGAAAUCUCCGGGCUUAACCCGGAAACUGCCAUUGAUACUAUCUGUCUUGAAUAUCCUGGAGGUAAGCGGAAUAUGUCAUGUAGCGGUGAAAUGCUUAGAUAUGACAUAGAACACCCAUUGCGAAGGCAGCUUACUACGGGAUUAUUGACACUGAGGCACGAAAGCGUGGGGAUCAAACAGG
This 253-nucleotide ribosomal RNA is filed under the name uncultured bacterium. RNAcentral describes it as "partial 16S ribosomal RNA". It matches the Rfam family "Bacterial small subunit ribosomal RNA", at positions 524 to 776 of the family's 1533-position model. The record is from RNAcentral.